GGGGAAUAUUGCGCAAUGGGCGAAAGCCUGACGCAGCGACGCCGCGUGAGGGAUGACGGCCUUCGGGUUGUAAACCUCUUUCAGUACCGACGAAGCGCUUGUGACGGUAGGUACAGAAGAAGCGCCGGCUAACUACGUGCCAGCAGCCGCGGUAAGACGUAGGGCGCGAGCGUUGUCCGGAUUUAUUGGGCGUAAAGAGCUCGUAGGCGGCUUGUCACGUCUGUCGUGAAAGACCAGGGCUUAACUCUGGUUUUGCGGUGGAUACGGGCAGGCUUGAGGCAAGUAGGGGAGAACGGAAUUCCAUGUGUAGCGGUGAAAUGCGCAGAUAUGUGGAGGAACACCGGUGGCGAAGGCGGUUCUCUGGGCUUGUUCUGACGCUGAGGAGCGAAAGCAUGGGGAGCGAAC
Molecule: ribosomal RNA, 405 nt
Filed under: uncultured bacterium
Lineage: Bacteria
Description: bacterial SSU rRNA
Rfam family: Bacterial small subunit ribosomal RNA
Source: RNAcentral